RNAcentral lists this ribosomal RNA (433 nucleotides) under uncultured bacterium. RNAcentral's name for it is "partial 16S ribosomal RNA". It matches the Rfam family "Bacterial small subunit ribosomal RNA", at positions 29 to 507 of the family's 1533-position model. The record is from RNAcentral.
AACGAACGCUGGCGGCAUGCCUAACACAUGCAAGUCGAACGAGACCUUCGGGUCUACUUGCGCACUUGUGCGUAACGCGUCGGAAGCUGCCCUUAUGUUCGGAAUAACUCCCCGAAAGGGGGGCUAAUUCCGGAAAAGGUCUUCUGACCAAAGAUUUAUCGACUUGGGAGGGGCCGGCGUUGGAUUAGCUGGUUGGUAGUGUAAAAGCCUAGCAAGGCUACGAUCCAUAGCUGGUCUGAGAGGAAGAUCAGCCACACUGGGUCUAAGACACGGCCCAGAAUCUUACGGGAGGGAGCAGUGGGGGAUACAGGCAAACGGCGGAAGGGAUGAUCCAGCAAUGCCGGGUGAGUGAUGAAGGCCGUAGGGUAGUAAAGCUCUUUUACCCGGGAUGAUAAUGACAGUACCGGGAGAAUAAGCACCGGCUAACUCCGUG